Non-coding RNA from Taeniopygia guttata (zebra finch), 1329 nucleotides. NCBI's taxonomy places the organism in Eukaryota, Metazoa, Chordata, Aves, Passeriformes, Estrildidae. The record is from RefSeq and is a predicted model, not a curated record.
GGGCCUAAUUUUACACCUGUCUUUCCAUUACCCUAAUCUGCAUUUUCCACUUCAUUUUAACAUAUUUUUUUUCCCAAGAUCAAAUACACUUGUCAGUUUCUGUGACAGCCAAAUAUCUUUGAUUUUUUUCUACUUUUAUUUCUGAUUUUAACUUUUUCCUACUUUUAGGAUUAUAGGCUACCCUCUAGGUAAGAGCUGUCAGAUUUCUCUCCCUGAGAUACAUUUUGUAUUUUACAAAAAUGAAACUUAAAAAGAAACAAUUACAAGUAUUAGAAGUUGUGGGGAAGGCAGAGAGGGUGUGGAAUAAGGCUUGAAUUUUUAUUUUAAAGAAAGCAAAGGAGGAACCUCCACUACCUCUUCACUGAAGGGUGGUCAAGUCCAUGCAAGUCCCUGGGUGCAUUUCACAGGGAGGCCAAAAAGCAGCAGCAGGCAUGUCCCUGGCUCCGUGCCCUGCUAUGCCAGGCAGGCUGCAGUGCUGCCCCAGUGGUGCCAUGGCUGUAGCACCCUGGCUGUGGGGCUGGCUGGACUCUUGCUGAGUUUCCCAGCCCCGGCAUGCCCUUCCCAGGGCACCAUGGACCCCAUGGGCAUCUCGACUCCCUGCACGGCACAGGGACAGCUCUGCAUGGGGAGCUGAGCAGGAAUGGCAGCAGCUGGAGACUAAUCCCAGGGCAGAUUUGUCCCUGGGCUCCCAGGUGCAGGUAGCCCUGCAGGAGUGCAGAGCCGCAGCGCUGGAGGCAGGGCCAGCAGCCCCAGCAGGGCCAGGCCCGGCACAAGGGCUGCAGCCAUGGGCAGCAGCUCCCAGGGGCAGAGCCACCGCCAGGGCCCACCUUUGCUGCUUUCUGGGACGCUGAGUGCUACUUAAGCUGCACGAGCAGCUGACAGUCCUGGGGACGGAGUACGUGCCUCAGUGCUGCAGCUGGAGACACAAAUGAUUCCCUGUCCAGCGAGCGCUGGGCAGUAGCACAGGGGAAAUCGCAAAAGAGGUCCCAUGAGGGUCUGUGUUGCAUGGACACCCACACUCCCAGCCUGAGAAAGAUGCCUUGUGGUGCUUUAGACCAGAGCCCAGAGACCCCAGUGCCAAGCUCUCAUCUUCAGGACAGCCAGGAAGCAGCACCAGAGCAACCACCCUGCUGCUGUGAUGCACAAGGAAACCAGGGUUGUGGACUGAAGCUUGGUCUGAAUUGCCUGGGUAGUUGCUUCUUUUGGUCCAAGGAAUUGAACAAAAUUGCAAAAUGUUUCUACUAGGAAGAAAGGCUAAGAGGCAUGUAAUUUUCCAAGUAUGUAAAGCAUUUUUUUCCUGUGAGUAUACAAUAAAAGGCCACCAGGAAC